AUUGAACGCUGGCGGCAGGCCUAACACAUGCAAGUCGAGCGGAUGAAGGGAGCUUGCUCCUGGAUUCAGCGGCGGACGGGUGAGUAAUGCCUAGGAAUCUGCCUGGCAGUGGGGGAUAACGUCCGGAAACGGGCGCUAAUACCGCAUACGUCCUGAGGGAGAAAGUGGGGGAUCUUCGGACCUUACGCUAUCAGAUGAGCCUAGGUCGGAUUAGCUAGUUGGUGGGGUAAAGGCCUACCAAGGCGACGAUCCGUAACUGGUCUGAGAGGAUGAUCAGUCACACUGGAACUGAGACACGGUCCAGACUCCUACGGGAGGCAGCAGUGGGGAAUAUUGGACAAUGGGCGAAAGCCUGAUCCAGCCAUGCCGCGUGUGUGAAGAAGGUCUUCGGAUUGUAAAGCACUUUUGGUUGGGAGGAAGAGCAGUAAGUUAAUACCUUGCUGUUUUGACGGUACCAACAGAAUAAGCACCGGCUAACUUCGUG
This 484-nucleotide ribosomal RNA is filed under the name uncultured bacterium. Its description in RNAcentral is "partial 16S ribosomal RNA". It matches the Rfam family "Bacterial small subunit ribosomal RNA", at positions 30 to 507 of the family's 1533-position model. The record is from RNAcentral.